CUUCGGUUUGGCGGCGAGUGGCGAACGGGUGAGUAAUAUAUCGGAACGUACCCAGUAGCGGGGGAUGACUACUCGAAAGAGUAGCUAAUACCGCAUACGCCCUACGGGGGAAAGGGGGGGAUCGCAAGACCUCUCACUAUUGGAGCGGCCGAUAUCGGAUUAGCUAGUUGGUGGGGUAAAGGCUCACCAAGGCGACGAUCCGUAGCUGGUUUGAGAGGACGACCAGCCACACUGGGACUGAGACACGGCCCAGACUCCUACGGGAGGCAGCAGUGGGGAAUUUUGGACAAUGGGGGAAACCCUGAUCCAGCCAUCCCGCGUGUGCGAUGAAGGCCUUCGGGUUGUAAAGCACUUUUGGCAGGAAAGAAAUCGCAUGGGUUAAUAACCUGUGUGGAUGACGGUACCUGCAGAAUAAGCACCGGCUAACUACGUGCCAGCAGCCGCGGUAUACGUAGGGUGCAAGCGUUAAUCGGAAUUACUGGGCGUAAAGCGUGCGCAGGCGGUUCGGAAAGAAAGAUGUGAAAUCCCCAGGGCUUAACCUUGGAACUGCAUUUUUAACUACCGAGCUAGAGUAUGUCAGAGGGGGGUGGAAUUCCGCGUGUAGCAGUGAAAUGCGUA
Molecule: ribosomal RNA, 618 nt
Filed under: uncultured beta proteobacterium
Lineage: Bacteria; Pseudomonadati; Pseudomonadota; Betaproteobacteria
Description: bacterial SSU rRNA
Rfam family: Bacterial small subunit ribosomal RNA
Source: RNAcentral